Molecule: long non-coding RNA, 103 nt
Organism: Apis dorsata (giant honeybee)
Lineage: Eukaryota; Metazoa; Arthropoda; Insecta; Hymenoptera; Apidae
Exons: 3
Source: RefSeq, a predicted model, not a curated record
ACUAAUAUUAACAUCGUGUCAAGGACAACGACGUCGGUCACAAUCGAGUUCACCGUGUAUCUUUUAUCACGGUUCGACUAUCGCAGGGCAGAGAGAGAGAGAA